Molecule: ribosomal RNA, 83 nt
Filed under: Escherichia coli
Lineage: Bacteria; Pseudomonadati; Pseudomonadota; Gammaproteobacteria; Enterobacterales; Enterobacteriaceae
Description: partial 16S ribosomal RNA
Rfam family: Bacterial small subunit ribosomal RNA
Source: RNAcentral
CGCUUACCACUUUGUGAUUCAUGACCGGGGUGAAGUCGUAACAAGGUAACCGUAGGGGAACCUGCGGUUGGAUCACCUCCUUA